GUCUUCCAGGGUCGAGUCUCUUCCUCCCCCUCCCCGACACUUCAUCUUCUCCAAACGUAUGCUUUUACCGUUACUUUCUCAAUCAAUGACGCUGUCAAAGCUAUUCUUCAAUGUUGUGGUCCAUCUCCCCUUGAUACUUCUCUUAUAUAAAUCUCUGUCUCAAAACCUAAAGCCACCCUAAAUUAAAAAACCUAAUCUGCAAAAAAUACAUUCAUGGCAAUGAAAUAGUCUUAGCUUAUCACCAGAAAAUAUCCCGUCGCCAUGUGUUUCAACGACAUCUCACCAUGAUGAUCUGAGUCACAGCUUCAAUUCAGGAAACAAAUCUCGGACGCCUAGAUCUGGAAGCCAUGAAGCAUCUGAACCCAAAACUAUGACUAAUGUUCACAGGGACGGCAAUGACGGACGAUAGAGAAGAAGGGACAACAAUCGUUGAGAUAUCCUUUAGAUAAAAUACUCCUAGGAGGGAGACAAAAAUGAGAGGACUAAAUCAUCUUCAGAUGCUCGAACCAGUGCUCGUGCUUGAAUCGACCAUCCUUGCUUCCGCCUUCCGGUUGGUUUAAAGAAAGGUGCAGCCAAGUGUGUAAGAAAUCUAAGGUGUCUAAUGCUAACUUCCACUGGACACAACUUCAAUGGAUGGAAACCAUACCUAUGGUCUGAAUUAUUAACCCUUGAGUUGCUUAGCAAGUGAUGCUUAGUACUGAACCAACAACUAAGCUCACAUUUGCAGUCUCAGUGUUUAUGAUUUUCGCUCCUGGUUUGUAGAGACAGAGGGUAAAAGCUAUGAUCGGGUCAGUCGGACAGAGAUCGCGAUGUUGGUGAGAUUACAAGUUUGGAUUAGACAAGGUCAUAAUUGAUGGGCUACAGAUAUUCAAAGGAGCAAUCGUUUGUGUAGGAGAACCAAAGGCUUCCGAGCUCCAGAGGUACAUCAAGUGUAACAAUAUAUAUCUUCCUUUAAAGCUUUGCUUAUAUGAGUCUUCUACCUUGAGGCUAAAGAUACACGCAUGAACUACUCAUUAGAACUUUCAGGAUGGAAAAUCUAAUAAUUUGGGGCUGUUCUUGGCUGAAAUAACUUGUGCAGGAUUCCUUCUGACGUGUGGUCAGCAGGAAUAAGAUUAACUUUGUCUCAUUGAUUUGUUAGGAUUGCAGAGGCUCUCUCUUUUAUACCAAAUUAGUUUCUGCUCUAUUGAACAUAAUUGCAUUUCCAUUUUCUCUUCCUGGACAUUGAGAGAUCAUGAAGAAUUCGAGGUUAAGAUCAAUGGUUUAGUUGAAACUGCACCAGUUCCUGAAGAAGUCUAGAAUAUCCACUACGGUACUCUUUGGCCCGGUAAUAAUGUGCCAUGAUCAAGGUCUUCCUUGGAAACAAAGGUCUUAACGAUGUAGAAAACUACGAGCUCCCUAGGCUGGUUUAUGUUCUCGUGAGGAGGGAGCCCAGAUCCGACCAUCUUAAGAAGGUUGAAGAAAUAACUUUAUUGGUAAACGAUUAAGCUUAAUCUUUGAUUGUAUUAUUUAAACUUAAAUAUAAUGUUCUCUCGCAAACUUAACUGUGAUUACUACAUCAACAAUAGCAAAGCUCACAGAAGCAAUGUGUUUCCCAAAGGAUCCUUAGUCGGGAAAAAGCUUUGUUAUGUCAA
Molecule: long non-coding RNA, 1631 nt
Organism: Raphanus sativus (radish)
Lineage: Eukaryota; Viridiplantae; Streptophyta; Magnoliopsida; Brassicales; Brassicaceae
Exons: 7
Source: RefSeq, a predicted model, not a curated record